CUCCUUAAGCUGUCGAUGUCGGUUUUCCUGGGUUUCUACCGCCACAGAAUUCUGUUCUGCUGAGCAAGACAGGAAGUCCUCUGAGCUGAGAAAACUUCAAGAAGAGAAAUUUUCACUGGAAUAAAUUCGACAGAAAACAGUAUCCAUUUAAGGAAAUACCCGCAAAGAAAAUGCUGUCUUUCCCCUCCUAUUGGAUGGGUCAUUCAUCUCUAAUGCAAAGACAGGUUUGCUUCUCUCUUCCUGUCUACAUGCAUAGAUGAUUUCAUGAUGUGCACCCGUCAUGUAAAGAGAGCCCGGUGGAGAGCAAGCACGAAGAUCAACCGAUUUCCCUAGCCCUAAGAUUACUGCAAUGCUUCCUGUGGCUGUUCUUCCUACAGCCCCUCAGUGUGAGCCAUAAAGCUUUAGUUCUCACGCCGAGCUGUGUGGGACAGGGUGUUGAGCGAUCCUGCCUCUACGAUGAAUAAGAUCAACAGCA
RNAcentral lists this long non-coding RNA (475 nucleotides) under Mus musculus (house mouse). Its description in RNAcentral is "predicted gene, 47865". The record is from RNAcentral. Lineage: Eukaryota; Metazoa; Chordata; Mammalia; Rodentia; Muridae.